AAUAGAUACCCAGGUAGUCCACGCCGUAAACGGUGGGCACUAGGUGUGGGCGACAUUCCACGUCGUCCGUGCCGCAGCUAACGCAUUAAGUGCCCCGCCUGGGGAGUACGGCCGCAAGGCUAAAACUCAAAGGGAAUUGACGGGGGCCCGCACAAGCGGCGGAGCAUGUGGCUUAAUUCGACGCAACGCGAAGAACCUUACCAAGGCUUGACAUACACCGGAAACGUCCAGAGAUGGGCGCCCCCUUGUGGUCGGUGUACAGGUGGUGCAUGGCUAUCGUCAGCUCGUGUCGUGAGAUGUUGGGUUAAGUCCCGCAACGAGCGCAACCCUUGUCCCGUGUUGCCAGCAGGCCCUUGUGGUGCUGGGGACUCACGGGAGACCGCCGGGGUCAACGUCGGAGGAAGGUGGGGACGACGUCAAGUCAUCAUGCCCCGUUAUGUCUUGGGCUGCACACGUGCUACAAUGGCCGGUACAAUGAGCUGCGAUACCGCGAGGUGGAGCGAAUCUACAAAACGCCGGUCUCAGUUCGGAUUGGGU
Molecule: ribosomal RNA, 537 nt
Filed under: uncultured bacterium
Lineage: Bacteria
Description: bacterial SSU rRNA
Rfam family: Bacterial small subunit ribosomal RNA
Source: RNAcentral